Molecule: long non-coding RNA, 546 nt
Filed under: Columba livia (rock pigeon)
Lineage: Eukaryota; Metazoa; Chordata; Aves; Columbiformes; Columbidae
Description: partial uncharacterized LOC106145789
Source: RNAcentral
GUACCCGGCUCCGGCCUUCACAGGCCUUUCUGCUGCCUCCCCGGGGUUUGUCAGCUCGGUAUACACGGGCUUGUUCCAGUGGCACCAAAACCCUUUGGACAGGCAGUCCCCAGACAGCCAAACCCUGUUUUGCAGAGCUUUAUUUCUGUUCUUUCAAGCAGGAGCUAUUUCGCGCUGGCAAGGAUAGCUCACGGACACAACACAGCGCCUCUCAAGUGCCGGGCAGCUUGCUCUACUGAUGCGCGGAAACAACUCUACAACCUAUAAAGUCAUAAAACUUUACAACUCGCAAGGUUAUAAAGCAGGUCCAGUCUGGGCCCAUUGCCAGGACCAAGGGGAAGCUCCCAGACGCGCUCCAUGGCCAAGGCAGCACGCAAGAUCCACAGCUGUAAUCUCACAUCCGCUUUGUGGGAAUGGGUCUGUGUGUACAGAGCUGUGUACACAAGUCCCUUGAAUAAACAUACAUCGCUGCCAGCUUUCUCCUUGAAUUGUCACAAUAGCAGAGUGUGAACUCCAGGAACUGCAGGCGUACAUCGGCUGCAAAAC